This 544-nucleotide long non-coding RNA is filed under the name Triticum aestivum (bread wheat). RNAcentral's name for it is "long non-coding RNA (TAES_LNC006167)". The record is from RNAcentral. Lineage: Eukaryota; Viridiplantae; Streptophyta; Magnoliopsida; Poales; Poaceae.
AAUGCAAGACAACAACUACACUCAGGUAAAGGAUUGCUUGAAAUUUUUUGUUACAUUUCUUAACCAUACCUCAUCUCUAUGAUGGAACAAUUUGUUUUACAUGUACCAGAAACUGCACGGGGCUAGCAACGCUGAUGUUUUGCAGAUACUUUGAAGGAGAUAAUGACAUAUUCCCAGAGGUUUGUGUCGCAUAAUUAUUUAAAUUAGAAGAGUGGUACAUGUCAUUAUUGUUAAUUUUGACGAUGUGUACUUUUUUUGACACAGCUACAAGGUGAUGCAAACGAGUUCGCGUCUUUCAUACUCUACGACAUUCUUCAUCUCCGGGGAAACAGCGGUUAUCUUCCUAAGGAGUUCGUUCAGACGGUUAGCGAUUAACCAGCAGCGAAACUAAUAUCGAUGUUCGCUAAAGCGGCAAAAUGUGUUUGUUUGAGGCCAAAUAGAACCUUCAUUCCCGUGGUGUUCAACUUGUAAUUCACUGAUAAUUUAAGUAGCAGUCGUGUAUGUAAUUUGGAUAAUUUCCAUAAUUCAGUUAAGAAGUUUUUAU